This 915-nucleotide ribosomal RNA is filed under the name Pseudomonas sp. RNAcentral's name for it is "bacterial SSU rRNA". It matches the Rfam family "Bacterial small subunit ribosomal RNA", at positions 36 to 951 of the family's 1533-position model. The record is from RNAcentral. Lineage: Bacteria; Pseudomonadati; Pseudomonadota; Gammaproteobacteria; Pseudomonadales; Pseudomonadaceae.
CGGGCGGCGGCUACCAUGCAGUCGAGCGGAUGAGAAGAGCUUGCUCUUCGAUUCAGCGGCGGACGGGUGAGUAAUGCCUAGGAAUCUGCCUGGUAGUGGGGGACAACGUUUCGAAAGGAACGCUAAUACCGCAUACGUCCUACGGGAGAAAGCAGGGGACCUUCGGGCCUUGCGCUAUCAGAUGAGCCUAGGUCGGAUUAGCUAGUUGGUGGGGUAAUGGCUCACCAAGGCGACGAUCCGUAACUGGUCUGAGAGGAUGAUCAGUCACACUGGAACUGAGACACGGUCCAGACUCCUACGGGAGGCAGCAGUGGGGAAUAUUGGACAAUGGGCGAAAGCCUGAUCCAGCCAUGCCGCGUGUGUGAAGAAGGUCUUCGGAUUGUAAAGCACUUUAAGUUGGGAGGAAGGGCAGUAAGCUAAUAUCUUGCUGUUUUGACGUUACCGACAGAAUAAGCACCGGCUAACUCUGUGCCAGCAGCCGCGGUAAUACAGAGGGUGCAAGCGUUAAUCGGAAUUACUGGGCGUAAAGCGCGCGUAGGUGGUUUGUUAAGUUGGAUGUGAAAGCCCCGGGCUCAACCUGGGAACUGCAUCCAAAACUGGCAAGCUAGAGUACGGUAGAGGGUGGUGGAAUUUCCUGUGUAGCGGUGAAAUGCGUAGAUAUAGGAAGGAACACCAGUGGCGAAGGCGACCACCUGGACUGAUACUGACACUGAGGUGCGAAAGCGUGGGGAGCAAACAGGAUUAGAUACCCUGGUAGUCCACGCCGUAAACGAUGUCAACUAGCCGUUGGAAUCCUUGAGAUUUUAGUGGCGCAGCUAACGCAUUAAGUUGACCGCCUGGUGAGUACGGCCGCAAGGUUAAAACUCAAUUGAAUUGACCGUGUCUCGCCUCAGAUAGAGUGAACAUGGAGAGAGA